This 327-nucleotide long non-coding RNA is filed under the name Homo sapiens (human). RNAcentral describes it as "long non-coding RNA NONHSAT141102.2". The record is from RNAcentral. Lineage: Eukaryota; Metazoa; Chordata; Mammalia; Primates; Hominidae.
UUGAGCCCUCUCAUCACCAGUUAUCCAUGCUGCUGCAUAUAAACCCAGCUUAUUUAUUUAAACUGCUGCAUGGAUUCCCGCCGUGGAUAAUGCCUACCGAUGGGAAUUUAGGUGACAAAAAUUUUCAGUGGGGAAACCAGGGCACAGAGAGGUGCCACUAUGCACGUGAAGAAGUACCUGCUGAAGGGCCUGCAUCGGCUGCAGAAGGGCCCCGGCUACACGUACAAGGAGCUGCUGGUGUGGUACUGCGACAACACCAACACCCACGGCCCCAAGCGCAUCAUCUGUGAGGGGCCCAAGAAGAAAGCCAUGUGGUUCCUGCUCACC